This 301-nucleotide ribosomal RNA is filed under the name uncultured bacterium. RNAcentral's name for it is "partial 16S ribosomal RNA". It matches the Rfam family "Bacterial small subunit ribosomal RNA", at positions 509 to 807 of the family's 1533-position model. The record is from RNAcentral.
CAGCCGCCACGGGAAUACGGAGGAUCCAAGCGUUAUCCGGAUUUAUUGGGUUUAAAGGGUGCGUAGGCGGCCAAUUAAGUCAGGGGUGAAAGACGGUAGCUUAACUAUCGCAGUGCCUUUGAUACUGAUUGGCUUGAAUGUACUUGAGGUAGGCGGAAUGUGACAAGUAGCGGUGAAAUGCAUAGAUAUGUCACAGAACACCAAUUGCGAAGGCAGCUUACUAAAGUAUGAUUGACGCUGAGGCACGAAAGCGUGGGGAUCAAACAGGAUUAGAUACCCGAGUAGUCCCUGUCUCUUAUAC